This 60-nucleotide transfer RNA is filed under the name Amborella trichopoda. Lineage: Eukaryota; Viridiplantae; Streptophyta; Magnoliopsida; Amborellales; Amborellaceae. The record is from Rfam by way of RNAcentral.
AUGGUCUAAUGGUUCAGGACAUCUCUCUUUCAAGGAGGUAGUGGGCAUUCGAUUUCCCCU